GUGGGGAAUAUUGGACAAUGGGGGAAACCCUGAUCCAGCGACGCCGCGUGUGUGAAGAAGGCCUGCGGGUUGUAAAGCACUUUUAGUGGGGACAAAAAGUCAUAGGUGAAUACCCUGUGAUCUUGAUUUAACUCACAGAAAAAGCACCGGCUAACUCUGUGCCAGCAGCCGCGGUAAUACAGAGGGUGCGAGCGUUAAUCGGAAUUACUGGGCGUAAAGCGCGCGUAGACGGUUUUGUAAGUCAGAUGUGAAAUCCCCGGGCUCAACCUGGGAACUGCAUUUGAUACUGCAUGGCUAGAGUAUCGAAGAGGGAAGUGGAAUUUCCGGUGUAGCGGUGAAAUGCGUAGAUAUCGGAAGGAACACCAGUGGCGAAAGCGACUUCCUGGUCGAAUACUGACGUUCAUGUGCGAAAGCGUGGGGAGCAAACAGGAUUAGAUACCCUUGUAGUCC
Molecule: ribosomal RNA, 450 nt
Filed under: uncultured bacterium
Lineage: Bacteria
Description: bacterial SSU rRNA
Rfam family: Bacterial small subunit ribosomal RNA
Source: RNAcentral